AACGAACGUUAGCGGCGCGCUUAACACAUGCAAGUCGAGCGAGAAAGGGGCAACCCCGGUAAAGCGGCGCACGGGUGAGUAACACGUAGGUAAUCUACCCUCGGGUGGAGGAUAACUUUCCGAAAGGAAGGCUAAUACUGCAUGAGACCACGACCUCGAAAGGGGAUGGGGUCAAAGCCGGCCUCUGUACACAAGCUGGCGCCUGAGGAUGAGCCUGCGGCCCAUCAGCUAGUUGGUAGGGUAAUGGCCUACCAAGGCGAAGACGGGUAGCUGGUCUGAGAGGAUGAUCAGCCACACUGGAACUGAGACACGGUCCAGACUCCUACGGGAGGCAGCAGUGGGGAAUCUUGCGCAAUGGGCGAAAGCCUGACGCAGCGACGCCGCGUGAGUGAUGAAGGCCUCGGUUGUAAGACUCUGUGGAGAGGGACGGAAGUAAGUAGUUGGUCGUAACAUCCAGCAUGAUGACGGUACCGUCUUUA
This 479-nucleotide ribosomal RNA is filed under the name uncultured bacterium. RNAcentral's name for it is "bacterial SSU rRNA". It matches the Rfam family "Bacterial small subunit ribosomal RNA", at positions 29 to 485 of the family's 1533-position model. The record is from RNAcentral.